Small nuclear RNA from Rattus norvegicus (Norway rat), 107 nucleotides. NCBI's taxonomy places the organism in Eukaryota, Metazoa, Chordata, Mammalia, Rodentia, Muridae. The record is from Ensembl.
GCGCUCGUUUCAGCAGUACAUAUACUAAAAUUGGAACGAUACAGAGAAGAUUAACAAGGCCCCUGCGCAUAGAUGACAUGCAAAUUCUUGAAGUGUUACAUAUUUUU